This is an RNA transcript of Anopheles merus, 2351 nucleotides long. RefSeq lists it as uncharacterized. The transcript has 3 exons. NCBI's taxonomy places the organism in Eukaryota, Metazoa, Arthropoda, Insecta, Diptera, Culicidae. The record is from RefSeq and is a predicted model, not a curated record.
GCGCUUAUCGCGACAUCUUAGUUUGUUGCUUUACAUGAUGAGGAGGUUGAUUGUGCUACUGUUGGUGACCGUUUCGAUUGCGCAUGGUGCGGCGUACAGUGUGCCGUCAACCGUCGAUUCGAUCGAUUGGACACGUGUUAAACCGGUGGAAGAGCUCGACCACUAUUGGGCCCGCUUACCCCCGGAGCUGCAGGCUUACAGGAAUGGCACUCAUGGAACUCAUCCGUCAGCUCGCAUCACCAACGGACUGGAGGCACGUGUAGGACAGUUCCCGUACCAGGCACUGCUACUGACCGAGUUCGGCAUGUUCACCAUCAUGUGCGGUGGGACAGUGUUGACGCCCAACUUUAUCCUCACCGCGGCACACUGCGUAAUGCUCGAUCAAACGACCAAAGCGACAGGUGGCAUGGCCAUCCUCGGUGCCCACAACCGGAUGGUGGUGGAACCGACCCAGCAGCGGAUACGCUUCGCAACCAGUGGCAUCAUCGUUCACCCUUCGUACACCGUCACCAACUUUCGCUUCGAUGUGGCAAUGGUGCGGCUCAGUGCGCCGCUUCGCUUCAACAGUUACGUGCAGCCGGUACGCCUUCCGGCCCGUACCGAUCAGCGGCUGUUCGAUGGCAUAAUCGGCACCGUCAGUGGCUUUGGACGGACGAAUGAUAAGGACGAGCUACUGCCGUCCAUUCUACGCUACACAAUCAACACGAUCCUGAGCAACGGUGCGUGCGCGGCGCGGUGGGGUUCGUUGCUGGUGGAACCGCACAACAUUUGCCUCUCGGGGGACGGUGGUCGAUCGGCCUGCGUUGGUGAUUCCGGUGGUCCGCUGACGAUCGAAGAGUGGGGCGGCAUCACGUAUCAAGUGGGUGUAACAUCGUUCGGGUCGGGCAACGGGUGUACGGACGGGAUGCCGACGGUGUACGGGCGCGUUAGUUACUUCUUGGAUUGGAUAAGAGCCAACUCGGACUGCAUCGCUUGCUGAGUGAGUGAGUGAUUGUUUGUGUGACUGGGCGACAUCGAGGGAUUAAAGGUGGAUUUUUGUGAUAAGGUUAUGAAAGGUGCUCGUGUUCCUUAGGUGUGCAGAUAGGAGGUAGAUAAUAGUUUGACAUGCCAGACAGUAUGAUAAAGUAGUUUGCAGAAGGUCAUAUUAGGAGUCUAUUUUAUAGUGAAAGAAUAGUUCUUAUUUGUAGCAUUUUGGAAUGUAAAUUGCAUAAAUGUAGGCGUUGUAUCUGAUCGUAUACUCAAUAAAAUAGCUAAAUUUUGUAAAAAAAAUGCCUUUUUAUUGUUUAGAGUAAUACAGUAAUCUCUCGCAAAAGCAACCGCUACCUCUCAAGCAGAAUAAACCAUUUAUUUUUAAUCAACACCUUUUCAUGGUAUCAAAUUGACCAUAAAACGAAACGCGUAAACUGUUCUCACUGCCGUCAGCUCGCAGUGGGGGGUGGGGUUGUCGCUCUAUUUCAGGUGCAAGAACCGAUAGUAGCAUCAGCUCAGCUUGCUGAAAGCAGCAGCCGGGGCAACUGUUGGCAACGCGCAUUGCUCUCGAGAAGAACUCCCAUCCCCGCUGUCAACGUCAAUGCCAGAACGCGUCUUCAUAAAUCCGUACCAAGGGCACGGCACAAAUACAAAACCACCCUCUCCCCGCAAAGCCUAAAUCGCACCAGGAGAAGGGAGGGAGGAGUGCUGUUACUAUUUUUACCUCUACGCCACUGCCUGCUCAAUCUUUCCAAAAAGGCAACAGCACGCGAACGGACAUUGAUUGUUCACCACCACACCGUGGUCGUCGUCGUCGUCGUCGUCAGUCAUCCCGAACUGUCGGAAGUCAUUGCGAGCAGUAGGCGAAGCAGUAGUACUCAAACGGUGUUUUCUUUACUGUCUGAGAUAGGUUAAUCAUCCCUCUUCCACCACUAGCAGUAGCAGCAGCAGCAGCAGCAGGAUGUAAUAAUGGCCGCUUAGUCACGCCGUGCGCCCGACCGGGAAGACACUCACAAGGUGCUCACACUCGUAUUUCUAGACUCUCUCUCGCUCUCUGUCAAGACACGCACACCACUGACAUUUCCACACUGACACUCAGCGCAUGGAUGCGUAUGCGCACUGGCACCACUGCUUUGGUGAAGCGGCUUGCGCAAGUGCACUCACCGCACCUGGGGGGGAGGAGGUCCAUUAAAACAGUCGCACCAAGAGCCGGGCGACUUCAGUCGGAAGUCAGGACUUGAGCAGCAAUCGUGUGAUAGCUACAGGGAACCAGUGUUGUGUGCCAGAGUGAGAGAAGCAGAUACAGAGCGCAAUCGAAAGCAGUGGCCGUGUGUGUAGUAGCACUAGAAAAACGUCCGUCAAACGUUUACACAUACCUUAGG